Molecule: ribosomal RNA, 293 nt
Filed under: uncultured bacterium
Lineage: Bacteria
Description: partial 16S ribosomal RNA
Rfam family: Bacterial small subunit ribosomal RNA
Source: RNAcentral
UGCCUACGGGGGGCAGCAGUGGGGAAUAUUGGGCAAUGGGCGCAAGCCUGACCCGGCAACGCCGCGUGAAGGAAGAAGGCUUUCGGGUUGUAAACUUCUUUUCUCAGGGACGAAGCAAGUGACGGUACCUGAGGAAUAAGCCACGGCUAACUACGUGCCAGCAGCCGCGGUAAUACGUAGGUGGCAAGAGUUAUCCGGAUUUACUGGGUGUAAAGGGCGUGUAGGCGGGGACGCAAGUCAGAUGGGAAAACCACGGGCUCAACCAGUGGCCUGCAUAUGAAACUGUGUUUCUU